AUUCGUCGUUGCAUCCAACGGC
This 22-nucleotide small nuclear RNA is filed under the name Arabidopsis thaliana (thale cress). RNAcentral's name for it is "snRNA_01257". Lineage: Eukaryota; Viridiplantae; Streptophyta; Magnoliopsida; Brassicales; Brassicaceae. The record is from RNAcentral.